CGAAAAUCAGUUCCCACAGGUCCGUUUUACCCCAGCACGGACCUGGCUAGCAGCAUCAGUGUCACCGGGAGCUGGUCAGAAGCACAGAGUCUCUGGCCCUUCCUAGACCUGUGGAUCAGUCUGCAUUUUACUAGGGUCCCAGGAUAACGAAGAAGGCAACAUGAAAACGUGAUUUCGAGGAGUAGCAAAAUCACCGAUCCUGACACAGCCACCAUGUUUUUCCACCUGCAUUCAUAAUUGAAGGAAAUACUGAAAAUCAGAGAGAGGUUGAACUGCAGCCGCUCUGUGCUCCCUCUGCCACCACCUCUGUCCCCUGUCCCUCUGCAUGGGAAGUGACACUGGGACGAGACUUCCUAGUAUGCAGGAAUCGCUGGCGAUGAAUCAGAAAAGAGCAGAGGGUCUCUUGUUUCCAUGUUCUUCAGCUGGGACCACAGGCAUGAAGAAAUAUUCUGGAUGAGAGACAGAUGAUUUGAGUUUUCGUUCUGCCACAGACAUGAGUGAUCCUGGGCAAGUCGCGGAACCAUCCUGAAUGUGGAAGUGAAAUUGGUAAAGCAGGGCUAAAAUCCAGACAAGUGGGGCUCAAUAAAGUAAUGCUGAGUUGGAACGGGCUUUGUGAGGUACAAAGUUUCACCUGACGCCCCGCCAGGCUAGAAGGCAGGAGCUCAGUCUCUGCUUGUUCAACAUUUCUGAGGACCUACUGAGUUGUCCUUCCCUGGGCCCUGGGCAUGCAGAAAGAAGAAGGCAUAUCUCCCGCCUUGAGGGGAUCACAGCCACAUGCGGAGGACAGCCAUGCAAACAAGCAAACCCAGUGCUGCUUCCCGCCCUCCCGACUCCUUACUGCAGGGUGUCCUCGUCAAGUGACAUUUCUUCUGCGACUGUAUGUCUCCGCUCAGAGACCCCAUGCAACGCUUCAGAUGAAAAGCCUUUAAAUUCCAGCGUCACGUUAUCAAUCCUUAUGCCUGUAUCAUACUAUGUUGAUUACUGCUGUUUUAUGGCAAAUCCUCAAGUCAGAUAGUUUAAGCCCUUCAACUUGGUUUUUCUCUUAAGGGAUUUCUUUGGAUAUUCUAGAUCCUUUGAAUUUCCAUAUAAACUUUAGAAUCUGCUUACCAAUUUUUUUUUUAAAGAUUUUAUUUUUCCUUUUUCUCCCAAAGCCCCCCGGUACACAGUUGUGUAUUUUUAGUUGUGGGUCCUUCUAGUUGUGGCAUGUGGGAUGCCGCCUCAGAAUGACUUGACCAGCAGUGCCGUGUCCACACCCAGGAUUCGAACCGGUGAAAUCCUGGGCUGCUGAAGCAGAGCGCUCAAACUUAACCACUCAGCCGUGGGGCUGGCCCCACCAAUUCUUAUUUUAAAAAUCUGCUGAGAUUUUGAUUGUGACUGAGUUACUGAGCUGAAUGUAUAGAUCAAUUUGAGAAGAACUGGCAUCUUAACAAUAUUGUCUUCCAAUCAACGAAUAUGAUGUAUCUCUUCAUUUACCUGGAUUUUCUUUAAUUUCUCUUAACAAUGUUUUAUAGUUUUCAGUGUAGACGUCUUUUACAUCUUUUACUAAAUUUAUGCUUAAAUAUUUUACGUUUUUGAGGGGAUUGUAAAUGGACUUGUUUUAAAUUUAAUUUUUCAAUUAUUUGCUACAAAUAUAUACGUAUGGAUUUGUUUAUUAACCUGAUAAACUACCACUAUUUUAAAUUCACUUAUUAGUUAUAGUAAUUAUUUCAUAGAUUCUUUAGGGUUUUCUACAUACACAGUCAUGUCACCUGCAAAUAGAGACAGCGUUUUUUCUUCUCUUGUAUCCUUGUGCCUUUUAUUUCUUUAUCUUACCCUACCGCACUGCCUGGAACCACCAGGACAAUGUUGAAGACAAGUGGUAAGAUAAGGCAUCCUUGUCUUUUUUUUUUUAUCUUAAAGGGAAAACACAUAACAAUUUAUCAUUAAGAAUAGUAUUAGCUAUAGAUCUUACACAGAUGCUUCUAUCAGAUUGAAGAAGUUUCCAUUAAUUUCCAAGAUUUUUCUUAAAAAUCAUGAACAAACAUUGAACUUUGUCAAAUGGUUCUUCAGAAGCUAUUAAAACAAUUAUGUGUUUUCUUUUUUUUUUAAAUUAACUUAGAAAUUACUUUUUUUACGUCUUGUUUGCUAACGUGGUGAUUGAUUUUAAAAUGCUAACCCAACCUUGCAUUCCUUAGACAAACCGUACUUGAUAAGUAUAUAUUCUUCUUUUCAUAUAUGUUUAAUUUAUACUUGCUAGUAUUUUGUUAAGAAAAUUUGUGUUUAUGAGGGUUAUUGAUCUGUGCUUUUCUUCUUAUUUUGUUUUUGUUUUUAUAACGUCUUUGUCAGGUUUUAGUAUUAAUGUUAGACAGGACUCAUACAGUAAUUGGAGUGGUUUUUCCUCCUCUGCUUUCUGAAAGAAUUUAGGUGAAAUUCAUAUUAUUUUUUUCUAGAAUAUUUGACUGAAUUCACUUGGAAACCAUCUGGGCCAAAUAUCAAAAACCUUUUUGAUAUUAAUUCUGUUACUUU
This is a long non-coding RNA of Equus caballus (horse), 2505 nucleotides long. The record is from Ensembl. Lineage: Eukaryota; Metazoa; Chordata; Mammalia; Perissodactyla; Equidae.